UGGGGAAUAUUGCACAAUGGACGAAAGUCUGAUGCAGCAACGCCGCGUGGAGGAUGACACAUUUCGGUGCGUAAACUCCUUUUAUAUAGGAAGAUAAUGACGGUACUAUAUGAAUAAGCACCGGCUAACUCCGUGCCAGCAGCCGCGGUAAUACGGAGGGUGCAAGCGUUACUCGGAAUCACUGGGCGUAAAGAGCGUGUAGGCGGGUAUAUAAGUCAGAAGUGAAAUCCAAUAGCUUAACUAUUGAACUGCUUGUGAAACGGUAUACCUAGAAUGUGGGAGAGGUAGAUGGAAUUUCUGGAGUAGGGGUAAAAUCCGUAGAGAUCAGAAGGAAUACCGAUUGCGAAGGCGAUCUACUGGAACAUUAUUGACGCUGAGACGCGAAAGCGUGGGGAGCAAACA
Molecule: ribosomal RNA, 402 nt
Filed under: uncultured prokaryote
Description: bacterial SSU rRNA
Rfam family: Bacterial small subunit ribosomal RNA
Source: RNAcentral